RNAcentral lists this ribosomal RNA (263 nucleotides) under uncultured bacterium. RNAcentral's name for it is "partial 16S ribosomal RNA". It matches the Rfam family "Bacterial small subunit ribosomal RNA", at positions 793 to 1055 of the family's 1533-position model. The record is from RNAcentral.
GUCCACGCCGUAAACGAUGAAUGCUAGCCGUUGGUGGGUUUACCCUUCAGUGGCGCAGCUAACGCUUUAAGCAUUCCGCCUGGGUAGUACGGUCGCAAGAUUAAAACUCAAAGGAAUUGACGGGGCCCGCACAAGCGGUGGAGCAUGUGGUUUAAUUCGACGCAACGCGCAGAACCUUACCAGCCCUUGACAUGUCCAGGAUCGGUCGCAGAGAUGUGACCUUCUCUUCGGAGCCUGGAACACAGGUGCUGCAUGGCUGUCGU